This 460-nucleotide unclassified non-coding RNA is filed under the name Hevea brasiliensis (rubber tree). Lineage: Eukaryota; Viridiplantae; Streptophyta; Magnoliopsida; Malpighiales; Euphorbiaceae. The record is from RNAcentral.
CUCAAGCCCUAACUCGUUCUCUAUCAAAUUGAAUCUGCUUCCCUGCGACGAGUUUAUUCCAUCCCUCACAUCCUCAAUCUCAUAUACUCUUUCCUCCUCCUGCUUAUCAUCCUCCUUGUUCCUGAUAAUCUUCUCUCUAUCACCCACCAUAUUAUUUCAUCAGCUCCAAUUCUCAAUGCCGAUUAUUACUUGUACAUAUCCAUAAAAGAUUUAAAUAGAUUAAAGUGUUGCAGUAACGAGAGAGUUCCAAGGAAAUCGAAUCCGUCAAAUUAAAACUGAGAAGAGAAAGAAAGCCGCAAGUUGAUGAGAAGGGUAACCGUAAGAUAAAUACUUUAUGGGAAAGAAAGAGAGACAGCAAAUGUUUUAGUCUGAUUCCUUAAUGAAAGAAUCACGAGAAAAAAAUGAGAGUAAAGAUAUUGACGAUUGCCGUUGAAAAGAAAGAGAAACUUGGGUGCCAGAG